ACGAGUGGCGAACGGGUGAGUAAUAUAUCGGAACGUACCAUUCAGUGGGGGAUAACGUAGCGAAAGUUACGCUAAUACCGCAUAUUCUGUGAGCAGGAAAGCAGGGGAUCGCAAGACCUUGCGCUGAUUGAGCGGCCGAUAUCAGAUUAGCUUGUUGGUGAGGUAAAAGCUCACCAAGGCGACGAUCUGUAGCGGGUCUGAGAGGAUGAUCCGCCACACUGGAACUGAGACACGGUCCAGACUCCUACGGGAGGCAGCAGUGGGGAAUUUUGGACAAUGGGGGCAACCCUGAUCCAGCCAUGCCGCGUGAGUGAAGAAGGCCUUCGGGUUGUAAAGCUCUUUCAGCCGGGAAGAAAACGCAUGGGUUAAUGCCCUGUGUGGAUGACGGUACCGGAAUAAGAAGCACCGGCUAACUACGUGCCAGCAGCCGCGGUAAUACGUAGGGUGCGAGCGUUAAUCGGAAUUACUGGGCGUAAAGCGUGCGCAGGCGGUUUUGUAAGACAGGCGUGAAAUCCCCGGGCUUAACCUGGGAACUGCGUUUGUGACUGCAAGGCUAGAGUACGGCAGAGGGGGGUGGAAUUCCACGUGUAGCAGUGAAAUGCGUAGAGAUGUGGAGGAACACCAAUGGCGAAGGCAGCCCCCUGGGUCGAUACUGACGCUCAUGCACGAAAGCGUGGGUAGCAAACAGGAUUAGAUACCCUGGUAGUCCACGCCCUAAACGAUGUCAACUAGGUGUUGGGAGGGUAAAACCUUUUAGUACCGGAGCUAACGCGUGAAGUUGACCGCCUGGGGAGUACGGCCGCAAGGUUAAAACUCAAAGGAAUUGACGGGGACCCGCACAAGCGGUGGAUGAUGUGGAUUAAUUCGAUGCAACGCGAAAAACCUUACCUACCCUUGACAUGCCAAGAACUUUCCAGAGAUGGAUUGGUGCCCGAAAGGGAACUUGGACACAGGUGCUGCAUGGCUGUCGUCAGCUCGUGUCGUGAGAUGUUGGGUUAAGUCACGCAACGAGCGCAACCCUUGUCGUUAAUUGCCAUCAUUUAGUUGGGCACUUUAACGAGACUGCCGGUGACAAACCGGAGGAAGGUGGGGAUGACGUCAAGUCCUCAUGGCCCUUAUGGGUAGGGCUUCACACGUCAUACAAUGGUCGGUACAAAGGGUCGCCAAGCCGCGAGGUGGAGCCUCUCAGAAAGCCGAUCGUAGUCCGGAUCGCAGUCUGCAACUCGACUGCGUGAAGUCGGAAUCGCUAGUAAUCGUGGAUCAGAAUGUCACGGUGAAUACGUUCCCGGGUCUUGUACACACCGCCCGUCACACCAUGGGAGCGGGUUCCGCCAGAAGUAGGUAGCCUAACCGCAAGGAGGGCGCUUACCACGGCGGGGUUCGUGACUGGGGUGAAGUCGUAACAAGGUA
RNAcentral lists this ribosomal RNA (1410 nucleotides) under metagenome. RNAcentral's name for it is "bacterial SSU rRNA". It matches the Rfam family "Bacterial small subunit ribosomal RNA". The record is from RNAcentral.